AGACGGAGGGUGCAAACGUUGUUCGGAAUUACUGGGCAUAAAGCGCACGCAGGCGGCUCGCUAAGUCGGAUGUGGAAGCCCUCGGCUCAACCGGGGAAUUGCAUUCGAUACUGGCGGGCUUGAGGACGGUUGGGGUGAGUGGAACUCCUGGUGGAGCGGUGAAAUGCGUAGAUAUCAGGAGGAACACCAGUGGCGAAAGCGGCUCACUGGACCGUUUCUGACGCUGAGGUGCGAAAGCUAGGGUAGCGAACGGAAUUAGAAACCCCGGUAGUCC
Molecule: ribosomal RNA, 274 nt
Filed under: uncultured bacterium
Lineage: Bacteria
Description: partial 16S ribosomal RNA
Rfam family: Bacterial small subunit ribosomal RNA
Source: RNAcentral